This is a long non-coding RNA of Oreochromis aureus, 449 nucleotides long. The record is from Ensembl. Lineage: Eukaryota; Metazoa; Chordata; Actinopteri; Cichliformes; Cichlidae.
GGGAUAAAACAGGUGUGCUCAGACAGGGAGACACCAGCAGCUUUGUGCCAGCAGAGAGUUUACACAGGUGAACAGGAGGAGACGCAUUCCAGCUCAGCAGCUUCAGCAUGAACUCCAGCGCUAUUCUGCUCUUCCUGGGACUGAUGGGGACAGCGUUCAGCAGCCCGGUUUGUCCUCAAAACUGCAACCACGCUCAGCACUAUCACAGGCAGUACUUCACUCAUGUGUCAGACCUCCAAAGUUCUUCAGUCGCGCCCUGGAAACUACAAAACAACUCUAAAGCAGGGCGAGAACCAGAGACCAUCCUGCAGGCCGUAUGCUUGCCUUGCAGUGUGAAGGACAUGGAGGCCAGACCAAUCUUCUUACAGAUUCAGGUGUACGAGAGGAUAGGCACGCAUGAGUAUUGCAGCUGUCCGUUCGAUCUGGCGGUUGGAUGCACCUGUGUCGCG